RNAcentral lists this ribosomal RNA (253 nucleotides) under uncultured bacterium. RNAcentral's name for it is "partial 16S ribosomal RNA". It matches the Rfam family "Bacterial small subunit ribosomal RNA", at positions 524 to 776 of the family's 1533-position model. The record is from RNAcentral.
UACAUGGGGUGCAAACGUUGCUCGGAAUCAUUGGGCGUAAAGCGCGCGUAGGCGGUUACUUAAGUCGAAUGUGAAAGCCCUCGGCUUAACCGAGGAAGUGCAUCCGAAACUGAGUAGCUAGAGUACGAAAGAGGGUCGCGGAAUUCCCGGUGUAGAGGUGAAAUUCGUAGAUAUCGGGAGGAACACCGGUGGCGAAGGCGGCGACCUGGGUCGAGACUGACGCUGAGGCGCGAAAGCUAGGGGAGCGAACAGG